AUUAUUGUAGAAGAGGACAAAAAAAAAUAAUCUUCACGUUUUCGAAAUAUUUUUAACGUAUUUAUAAAAUAAUUAUAAUGUUAUAUAUAUAUAUAUAUAUAUAUAUUUUUUUUUUUUUUUACAUGUACUAUUUUUUUUUUUUAUUUUUUGAUCGUUUGAUAAAAAAAAAUUCGCUAUUGAUAAUUACAAAUAGUUUAAAACAUGAUAUUUAAUUGUUAUUUCAAUUUUGCAUUUAAAAAUAUAAAGUGAUGAGAGAAAAAAUAAUAAAUUAUAAAAAAAAAUGAAAGGAAAAAAAAAAAAAAAAAUAGGNNNNNNNNNNNNNNNNNNNNNNNNNNNNNNNNNNNNNNNNNNNNNNNNNNNNNNNNNNNNNNNNNNNNNNNNNNNNNNNNNNNNNNNNNNNNNNNNNNNNCUUCUGUUUUAAUUUUUAAUGGUAAAAUAAAUUUGAUGUUCGAAUUAGUUGGAAGUAAUUUUAAAAGAAGAAGAAAACACAAAAAAAAAAAAAAAAAAAAAAAAAAAAAAAAAAAAAAAAAAAAAAAAUAAAGGUGUUGUAAAUAUGUACGAUAAUGUAUAAUAUAUAAACAUAUAUAUAACCCCCUUUCUCAUUUUGUGAUUUUUUUUUUUUUUUUUUUUUGUACAUAUAUACAUGCGUGAGGAACAGUAUGCAACAUAUCGAUGAUGAACGUUAUACAUAGUUAUAAUAACUCAUUUUGUCAUCAUACGUUAAAGACGUAUGAAAGAAAACAUGAAGUAAGAGUACACGAAUUAAAUGAAGAAAAUUGUUUAAUAAGUAUUAAUAAACAAUUGUUAAUAAAAACAAUAGUUUUAGAAUGUUUAUUAAUAGAACAUGUAAAAAACUUAAAGAUAGUAGAGCUAAAACGAAAAGGUCUAACGUGCAUGUGUCACAGUCACAAUAUUAAUAUUCAUGAUAAUAGUUUAUACAUAUGUAUAAAAAAAAAGAAAACAGUAAAGCUAUGUAUGCUAUAAUAAACCCAGUCAAUUAUAAUAUAUUACGUAAUCACCAAUAUAUAAAGUAUGAAAAUAACAAUAAUUCAUCAUGUAGAGUAUAUAUAAUUGUUUUACAUGAAAAAGAUACAUGUGAUUGUCACAUAGACGAUAAUAUAAUAAUUUUAAAAACAAUAAAUAAAAUAAUAUGUGAAACAACAAGUAAAAAUAUGACGAACAAAACUGAAGACAGUAUUAACGAAACAAGUAAUAACAAAACGAUUGAGAGUAAAUAUCGUAGUAAUAAUAGGGAUAGUAAGGGUAAAUGGAAUAUAAAUUAUAAUAUUAUAGUACAUGUAAAAGAACAAGAUAUACAACAAUGGAACAUGUAUGAAAAUAAUUUGUUGGAAGAAGCAGAAGUAAAGUUAAUUAAUGAUAAGCAUAAAGAGAAUAUGUCUAAACUAUGUACGAAUAAAAAAUCGUUUGAGAACUGUUAUGAUGAAAAUUAUUUCAAUCAACAUACUAUAUUUGAUAGUAUAUACUGUAUAAAUAACAAUUACUCAACUUUUAAUACUAUAACAGAGAGAAAUAUAUUCAAAUUCACAAUUUUUUUGAUGAAUAUUCAAAUGAGUGAACUUUUGUUAUGUUACGUUUUUAUAAUUGUAAAACUAAUGAUAAAAAAUAAAUUUUUUGAUGUUGAUUUAUCAAAUUUGGACAAUAGUACCAAUUAUUUGAAUAACAAGAAGAACAUGUUUUUAUUAUUGACAUUAUUAUUAUUUUCAUUAUCUUUAGUUUAUAACAGAGGUCACUACAAUGGAUUAUCGAAUAAUAAAAUUUUAAAUAAAAAAAAAAUAUAUAUCAUUAACAAGGUGCAGCUUUAUUACAAACAACAGUAUAAUUCGGUGCAUACAUAUGAUAGUGAAGUAGAGCGUACUAAUAAUUUUGAAUAUAUUAAAACACUACUAAGAUAUGAUAAAAAAAAAUAUAUAUAUACAUUUUUACAAUUAUUUUUGUUAUUAUUUUAUAAAAUUUUAACAAUCACUUUCAUUGUUUUGCUAAAAAGUGUAUUACCGUUAAUAUUAAAUGCCUAUUGUAAAUUUAAAGAUUUCAUAUUAGCAAUUUUUUUUAUAAUGAAUGAGUAUUUAUAUAAAAUAAUACUUUUAAGUUAUGUUGUGAAAUAUAUUGUACAUUUUACUUAUUUUUGGUAUUUAAGUCCAAAUUUUAAUAAUAGUGUGAAUAUGAUAGGUAUGUAUUCAAAGGGAGGUUUUUUAUGUGCAUAUAACAAACCACAUCAAUCAGAUGGUAGUAUUGGAAGUAUGAGCAAUAGCAAAAGUAAUAGUAAUGUCAUUGGUAUUUUUAAAAAUCAUAAUAAAAUUUAUACUUUUAUUGAAAAAAUAAAAAUGUUCAAUAAAUUAAUUUUUAUACAAGUUCAUAAAGGCAGUACAAUGUGCCAUAAUAUAAUUUCUACCAUCUAUUUAAGAAAUAUAAUGUUAAGAGUUUAUUAUUCGGAUAAGUGUUUAAUGGACUCGAACGGUGGAGAACACAGUAAUCCUAUGUUAUGUAACUUUUGGGGUUAUAACAACAUAGAUAUUUUAAAAAAUAGAGAUGCUUAUAACAAAUAUGUUGACAGUAGUAAUGGUAAUAGUAAAAAAAGCGGUAAUGAAGACGGCGAUAACAACAGCGGUAAUGACGACGGCGAUAACAACGGCGGUAAUGAUGGUGGGAAUAACAACAACGGUGGUAACAACAAUGGUGGUAACAACAAUGGUGAUAACAACAAUGGUGGUAACAACAAUGACGGUAACAACAACAGUGGUAACGAUAAUAGCGGUAACGCUAGUGGUAGUAACAGUAAUAAUAAUGAUGAAGGUGAUAAGAAUAACGAUAAGGAUAAUAUAAAUCAUAAACAAACUGAAAAACAAGAUGAAGAAGAAGAGAGGGAAGAAGAGAACGAAGAAAAAAAUGAAAACGAAAUUAACGAUAGUGGUAGUAAAAAUGUAACACGUGAAAACAUAAAUAGUGACAAUAGUAGUAACAGAAUAAGUCACAAUAACAACAAUUUAAAACAUGUAACGCUUAUACAAAACUUACCUGAAACGAAAAUAAAUAACAUGAAUAAUAUAUACAAAGACAAUGAUGAUAAUAAUAGUAAUUCCAAUGGCAGUAUCAAUGGUACUGUAAAUGCAAAUAACAACAACAAUAUAAUUAAUAAAGAUUUUGACAUUAUUCCUGGUAAUAAGGGUAUUGUCAAAGACAACCUAAAUACCAUAACUUAUGCUUGUGCAAAUGAUAGUAAUAAUAAAUUAAACUUAUUAAAUAUAAAUGGACUAAAUCAGAUAAUGAAUAAAGAUAUACAUAUGGAUAUAAGUAGUAAUGCUGGUCAUGUUAAUAGUAAGAAUAAUGCAAAAAGUAAUAUACCUAACACAUCACAUGGGGAAGCAGUAGUUAAUAAUAACACCAACAAUAUUAGCAAUAAUAGUAAUGUACAAAUAAAUAAAUUAUUAAAUAUAAAUAAUGCAUACAUGGUAGCAGCAGAAAAUUCAGGUGCGCUUAUUGAAGGAACACAUAACAGUAAAAUAAAUUGUGUUUCACCUGAUAAUGCAACAUACGAAUUGAAACACCCAACACAAGGUUUAAAAUACAAACAAAACCAACUUAUAUUUGCUCCAAAUAAAAUAAAUAGCAUACAACCAAAUACAAAUAUACAAAUGAAUAAUAUACAAAUGAAUAAUAGUAACAAUACAUCGAACCCAAUACAGCUACAUCAACCGAACCUGAUACAACCGAACCAGAUACAACCGAA
Piliocolobus tephrosceles (Ugandan red Colobus) is the source of this 3745-nucleotide long non-coding RNA. The record is from Ensembl. Lineage: Eukaryota; Metazoa; Chordata; Mammalia; Primates; Cercopithecidae.